GACGAACGCUGGCGGCGUGCUUAACACAUGCAAGUCGAACGGAAAGGCCCCUUUGGGGGUACUCGAGUGGCGAACGGGUGAGUAACACGUGAGUAACCUGCCCUUGACUUCGGGAUAACUUCAGGAAACUGGGGCUAAUACCGGAUAGGAAUCCUUGCUGCAUGGUGGGGGUUGGAAAGCUUCGGCGGUUUUGGAUGGACUCGCGGCUUAUCAGCUUGUUGGUGGGGUAGUGGCUUACCAAGGCUUUGACGGGUAGCCGGCCUGAGAGGGCGACCGGCCACAUUGGGACUGAGAUACGGCCCAGACUCCUACGGGAGGCAGCAGUGGGGAAUAUUGCACAAUGGGCGGAAGCCUGAUGCAGCAACGCCGCGUGCGGGAUGACGGACUUCGGGUUGUAAACCGCUUUCAGCAGGGGCGAAGCUUGUGGUGACGGUACCUGCAGAAGAAGCACCGGCUAACUACGUG
Molecule: ribosomal RNA, 465 nt
Filed under: uncultured bacterium
Lineage: Bacteria
Description: partial 16S ribosomal RNA
Rfam family: Bacterial small subunit ribosomal RNA
Source: RNAcentral